RNAcentral lists this ribosomal RNA (450 nucleotides) under uncultured Glomus. RNAcentral's name for it is "SSU rRNA". It matches the Rfam family "Eukaryotic small subunit ribosomal RNA", at positions 569 to 1025 of the family's 1831-position model. The record is from RNAcentral. Lineage: Eukaryota; Fungi; Glomeromycota; Glomeromycetes; Glomerales; Glomeraceae.
AGCAGCCGCGGUAAUUCCAGCUCCAAUAGCGUAUAUUAAAGUUGUUGCAGUUAAAAAGCUCGUAGUUGAAUUUCGAGACCGGUUUACUGGUCGUGCUUUUGUACGUACUGGUAUUAUUGGUUUCUCCUUUCUGACGAACUAUAAUGCCAUUAAUUUGGUGUUUUAGGGAAUCAGGACUGUUACUUUGAAAAAUUAGAGUGUUUAAAGCAGGCUCACGCUUGAAUACAUUAGCAUGGAAUAACGGAAUAGGACGUUUGAUUCUAUUUUGUUGGUUUCUAGGAUCGACAUAAUGAUUAAUAGGGAUAGUUGGGGGCAUUAGUAUUCAAUUGUCAGAGGUGAAAUUCUUGGAUUUAUUGAAGACUAACUACUGCGAAAGCAUUUGCCAAGGAUGUUUUCAUUAAUCAAGAACGAAAGUUAGGGGAUCGAAGACGAUCAGAUACCGUCGUAGUC